UACGGAGGGUGCGAGCGUUGUCCGGAAUCACUGGGCGUAAAGGGCGCGUAGGUGGCGACCCAAGUCAACGGUGAAAGCUCGGCGCUUAACGCCGAGUCGGCCGUCGAUACUGGGUGGCUCGAGCACUGUAGAGGCAGAUGGAAUUCCGGGUGUAGCGGUGGAAUGCGUAGAGAUCCGGAAGAACACCGGUGGCGAAGGCGGUCUGCUGGGCAGUUGCUGACACUGAGGCGCGACAGCGUGGGGAGCAAACAGG
RNAcentral lists this ribosomal RNA (253 nucleotides) under uncultured bacterium. RNAcentral describes it as "partial 16S ribosomal RNA". It matches the Rfam family "Bacterial small subunit ribosomal RNA", at positions 524 to 776 of the family's 1533-position model. The record is from RNAcentral.